This 308-nucleotide ribosomal RNA is filed under the name uncultured bacterium. Its description in RNAcentral is "bacterial SSU rRNA". It matches the Rfam family "Bacterial small subunit ribosomal RNA", at positions 772 to 1081 of the family's 1533-position model. The record is from RNAcentral.
ACUGAAUAGAUACCCGGGUAGUCCUGGCGGUAAACGAUGACCACGAGGUGUGCGGCGUAUCGACCCGCUGCGUGCCGCAGCUAACGCGAUCAGUGGUCCGCCUGGGGAGUACGGUCGCAAGAUUAAAACUCAAAGGAAUUGACGGGGACCCGCACAAGCAGCGGAGCGUGUGGUUUAAUUCGAUGCGACGCGAAGCACCUUACCAGGGUUUGACAUGCCAGCAAAACCUCCUGAAAGGGAGGCUCCUUCGGGGUGCUGGCACAGGUGCUGCAUGGCUGUCGUCAGCUUGUGCCGUGAGGUGUUGGGUU